UACGUAGGGGGCGAGCGUUGUCCGGAUUUAUUGGGCGUAAAGAGCGUGUAGGCGGCCAGGUAGGUCAGCUGUGAAAACUCGAGGCUCAACCUCGAGACGUCGGUUGAAACCACCUGGCUAGAGUCCGGAAGAGGAGAGUGGAAUUCCUGGUGUAGCGGUGAAAUGCGCAGAUAUCAGGAAGAACACCCGUGGCGAAGGCGGCUCUCUGGGACGGUACUGACGCUGAGACGCGAAAGCGUGGGGAGCGAACAGG
Molecule: ribosomal RNA, 253 nt
Filed under: uncultured bacterium
Lineage: Bacteria
Description: partial 16S ribosomal RNA
Rfam family: Bacterial small subunit ribosomal RNA
Source: RNAcentral